GACGAACGCUGGCGGCGUGCUUAACACAUGCAAGUCGAACGGAAAGGCCCUUCGGGGUACUCGAGUGGCGAACGGGUGAGUAACACGUGGGUGAUCUGCCCUGCACUUUGGGAUAAGCCUGGGAAACUGGGUCUAAUACCGAAUAUGAUCAUCGGCUUCAUGGUCGGUGGUGGAAAGCUUUUGCGGUGUUGGAUGGGCCCGCGGCCUAUCAGCUUGUUGGUGGGGUAAUGGCCUACCAAGGCGACGACGGGUAGCCGGCCUGAGAGGGUGACCGGCCACACUGGGACUGAGAUACGGCCCAGACUCCUACGGGAGGCAGCAGUGGGGAAUAUUGCACAAUGGGCGCAAGCCUGAUGCAGCGACGCCGCGUGAGGGAUGACGGCCUUCGGGUUGUAAACCUCUUUCAGCACAGACGAAGCGCAAGUGACGGUAUGUGCAGAAGAAGGACCGGCCAACUACGUG
RNAcentral lists this ribosomal RNA (462 nucleotides) under uncultured bacterium. Its description in RNAcentral is "partial 16S ribosomal RNA". It matches the Rfam family "Bacterial small subunit ribosomal RNA", at positions 28 to 507 of the family's 1533-position model. The record is from RNAcentral.